RNAcentral lists this microRNA (22 nucleotides) under Cervus elaphus (red deer). RNAcentral's name for it is "PC-3p-92441". The record is from RNAcentral. Lineage: Eukaryota; Metazoa; Chordata; Mammalia; Artiodactyla; Cervidae.
AAAAACCGAGUGAACUUUUUGG